AUUCAACUGAAUAGUCCCAAAUAGGAUGAAACGCUCGUCCUGCAU
Non-coding RNA from Schistosoma haematobium, 45 nucleotides. The record is from Rfam. NCBI's taxonomy places the organism in Eukaryota, Metazoa, Platyhelminthes, Trematoda, Strigeidida, Schistosomatidae.